UAAAAAUUAAACAUCAAAGGUCCUAAAACAAUUUAUAUGGAUGCAUUCGUUAUAGUGAAAAACACUUAUCUUUUUCUAAGAGCUCAACUAAAAUCUUCCGAUAAUCUAAUCUAAUCUUAAUAAAUCUGAUUUCUAUUGAUUUAAUGCCUAUCUAUAAUUAAAUAAAAUCUAAUUCCUCACCAUAAUCUAUCAAGAAGAUACUAAAAAAAAGCCCUAAUCUCCCCCCCCCACAAACUAAUGAGAUUGACAUAAAAAAACAAGAAAAAAAAAAAGAAAAAGAGUGAUCGAAAUCUUGAUUAUGAAAAUAACUAACUCCCCUUUAUUUCAAUUAAUGGGCAUUUAGCUUAAAUGCCCUUGGAAAAAAUUACAACAUAAGCCUCUUUCACAAUUCUAAUUCUAAAAUUUACUCUUAAGACAUUAGAUCACCUAAUUUGACCUUUUUCAUAAAAAU
RNAcentral lists this long non-coding RNA (451 nucleotides) under Gossypium raimondii (Peruvian cotton). RNAcentral describes it as "long non-coding RNA (GRAI_LNC008258)". The record is from RNAcentral. Lineage: Eukaryota; Viridiplantae; Streptophyta; Magnoliopsida; Malvales; Malvaceae.